This is a non-coding RNA of Pelobates cultripes (western spadefoot toad), 2099 nucleotides long. The record is from the annotation of a GenBank genome assembly. NCBI's taxonomy places the organism in Eukaryota, Metazoa, Chordata, Amphibia, Anura, Pelobatidae.
CAAUUUCCUGACAAAAUACAUUUUCUUUGCUUACUUCUUCUCACAAUACAUUUAUGGUCAUUACCAUUUUAAUGACACCAGUUGCUAUGAGAACAUUAUAAAACCACUUAUGGAAGCUGCACUUUCCCGUGUCAAAGCAAAUUAUAGUUGUUACUUACAGACGUUUAAUUAUUUAAAAUGUAGCUUCCAUCUCACAUAGUUUAUUCUCAUCUUCCUUUCAGAUACUUCUAUUAGACUGAUAAAUACUCUAUGGAAUCUCAUAAUCUGCUCGUGUAGUUUUGCACCCUCUUGUUCUGUAGCAGUAUUAUCUGAAGCGUAAACAUAGUUAUGAAGUAGCAAGAGUGAAUUUUAAGAUGCUGGUGUUUAGAAGGUAUUAAAUACGAAGACGUUAUUUAAUCUAGCACUUGCUGUAUUUAAGAGUAUCAAAUCAUCACACUACUGCAGUCACACUAAAAAGACUUUCUGUAGAAAAAAUGUAAUUAUUUUGAGUUGAAGAACUAUUACAAUAUCGGUGGCCAAACGUAUAAGAAAUACUUCAAAUGUAGGUUAGUGCCAUUCAGUUACGUUGCGGUCUGUAUAGAAUAGAAUCAGUUCAGUGUUCUGCAUCUGAUGAUUAAGACUGCAAAUAAUUUCCAUAAACUACACUUAUAUAACAAUACCAGUGCCAUACCAAAGCCAAAAGAUGCCCAAAUGAGUCUGAAAAGCUGCAGACUGUUAGACCUUGGCUUAAUUGGGGUCACAGUCCAUACUUUAGUUUGAAAGCUAGUUUAACCCCUUAAGGACUGAGCCAAAUGUACACUAUAUGUCUGUCCAACCGUAAUUCACCUCUUUCAUAUUAAGUGCAUCCACACUUAUUAUAUAUCAAAAAAAAACAGGGCUUUCAUUUAACAUCAAAUAUUUAGCUAUGAAACAAUGUAAUGUGAAUAAAAUAUAAAAAAAAAUGGGAGAAAAGUAGUUCUACAUGACAUUUUAACUGUGAAUGUCAUAAUACUUUUUGCAAUAAAAUACACAUUUGUAUUCAGCUAUGUCUCACGUGUAAAACAGUACCACCGAUGUACAGGGUUUAUGGUGUUUUGGGAAGUUACAGGGUCAAAUAUAGCAUGUUACAUUUAUUUUAUUUUUUUCACAUUGAAAUUCGCCGGAUUGGUUACGUUGCCUUUGAAACUGUAUGGUAACCCAGGAAUGAGAAUUACUCCCAUGAUGGCAUACCAUACAUGAGUAAAGUAAAACAGGGAUUAGUUAGAUUAAAAACAAAAGAAGGAAGGUAUGUAGAAAAGGAUAAAGGUCUAGCUGACUGCCUCAAUUAAUAUUUUUGUUCAGUAUUUACAGAUGAAAAUGAAGGAAAGGGGCCUCAGUUAGGAAAAAGGACAAAUUAGUCAUUUGUUACAUGUGAGUUUACAGAGGAAGAGGUUCUAUUUCAACUGUCAAAAGUAAAGACAAAUAAGUCAAUGGGACCUGAUGGAAUACACCCAAAGCUAUUAAAAGAGCUUAGUGGUGUACUAGCAAAACCAUUAACAGAUUUAUUUAACCAAUCAUUGUUAACAGGAGUAGUCCCAGAAGAUUGGAAGUUAGCGAAUGUUGUGCCCAUUCACAAGAAAUGUAAUAGGGAGGAGUCAGGCAACUAUAGGCCAGUAAGCCUUACUUCAGUAGUGGGGAAAGUAAUGUAAACCAUGUUAAAGGAUAGGAUUGUUGAACAUCUAAAAACACAUGGAUCUCAAGAUCAGAGACAACAUGGGUUUACUUCAGGGAGAUCAUGCCAAACUAAUCUUAUUUUUUUGAUUGGGUAACUAAAAUAAUAGAUCAGGGUGGUAGAGUAGACAUUUCUUACCUAGAUUUCAGUAAGGCUUUUGACACUGUUGCACAUAGAAGGCUUAUCAAUAAACUGCAAUCAUUAAGUUUGGAUUCCAAUAUUGUAGAAUGGGUAUUGCAGGGGCUGAGUGACAGGCAACAGAGGGUUGUAGUCAAUGGAGUAUAUACGAAGCUUGGACUUGUCACCAGUGGGGUACCUCAAGGAUCUGUACUUGGACCCAUUCUCUUUAAUGUUUUUAUUAGUGAUAUUGCAGAAGGUCUUGAUGGUAAGGUAUGUCUUUUUGCUGGUG